GGGUCUUUAGCUCAGCAGUAGAGCGGCAGACUUCGGUUAUAUCUGAAGCUACGUUCAUCGAACGUGUAUUCUGCAGGUCGCGGGUUCAAUCCCCGUAGGACUCU
RNAcentral lists this transfer RNA (104 nucleotides) under Mycosarcoma maydis (corn smut). RNAcentral's name for it is "tRNA-Arg for anticodon UCG". It matches the Rfam family "tRNA". From Rfam's summary of the family: Transfer RNA (tRNA) molecules are approximately 80 nucleotides in length. Their secondary structure includes four short double-helical elements and three loops (D, anti-codon, and T loops). Further hydrogen bonds mediate the characteristic L-shaped molecular structure. tRNAs have two regions of fundamental functional importance: the anti-codon, which is responsible for specific mRNA codon recognition, and the 3' end, to which the tRNAs corresponding amino acid is attached (by aminoacyl-tRNA synthetases). tRNAs cope with the degeneracy of the genetic code in two manners: having more than one tRNA (with a specific anti-codon) for a particular amino acid; and 'wobble' base-pairing, i.e. permitting non-standard base-pairing at the 3rd anti-codon position. Lineage: Eukaryota; Fungi; Basidiomycota; Ustilaginomycetes; Ustilaginales. The record is from RNAcentral.